Molecule: ribosomal RNA, 450 nt
Filed under: uncultured bacterium
Lineage: Bacteria
Description: partial 16S ribosomal RNA
Rfam family: Bacterial small subunit ribosomal RNA
Source: RNAcentral
GUGGGGAAUAUUGGACAAUGGGCGAAAGCCUGAUCCAGCCAUGCCGCGUGUGUGAAGAAGGUCUUCGGAUUGUAAAGCACUUUAAGUUGGGAGGAAGGGUAGUAACCUAAUACGUUGCUACUUUGACGUUACCGACAGAAUAAGCACCGGCUAACUUCGUGCCAGCAGCCGCGGUAAUACGAAGGGUGCAAGCGUUAAUCGGAAUUACUGGGCGUAAAGCGCGCGUAGGUGGUUCAGUAAGUUGGAAGUGAAAUCCCCGGGCUCAACCUGGGAACUGCUUUCAAAACUGCUGAGCUAGAGUACGGGAGGGGGUGGUGGAAGUUCCUGUGUAGCGGUGAAAUGCGUAGAUAUAGGAAGUAACACCAGUGGCGAAGGCGACCACCUAGACUGAUACUGACACUGAGGUGCGAAAGCGUGGGGAGCAAACAGGAUUAGAUACCCCGGUAGUCC